CACCCUCAAGGAGACACUCGACACACAGUGAACCAGUCAAAUCUACAGCAAAACAGCAGUGCUACUUGCUGCAGCAUUCAGCAAUUCAUUCAAUUUUUAUCUACAUGAUGAAAAAUAAUUUCAACUAUCUAUAUUCACAAUGUAUGAUGGGGAAAAAUGUGGAAUGUACACUCCUGGACAAUCACAAUGGUAGACAAGUCCUUUCAUUCUCCGAGCACCAACAAACAGAAGAAAAUUAAACUCGGAUUAGCCCACUUGCUACUCAUUAGCGGUACUAAAUGAAAAUGUAUAUUUACAUAUUUCUUCAUAUUUUCUGGCGAAAUGGUUAUUUGUCAUUCUCUUUUCUUUGUCUGUGUCAGCGGCAAGCAUACAGUGAGUAAACCUCACUAUCUCUGAGCCAGCAACGCCGUCUCAGUCUGAAGUGAUUAAAUCUGUAGAUCCAUAUUUCGGAGAAAUGACGGCCGCAGCAGCCCCGCUUUGCGAAAAUCUGCACGACGACGUUCAAGAAGUUCGUACACAAACGGCGGAAAUAACGCGAAAAACGAAGAUGCUUUGCACGACCUUCCUGUAUUUUCUCCGCAGUCCCUUUUCAGAAGCGUACAGGCGAUCAUGUUGCGCGCGCAUUUCACAGCGGAAGUGCACGCGUGCAGCGCGAGCACGGGCUCGAGGCUCGAUAACGGAGCGGAAUUAGUCAAGAGAGGGUGGAGAGGAGAAACAGAGUUUACUACGCGAAGGCUCUUAGGCUCUUAGGUUCUUAGGCCGAGGUGGACGUGGCUUGGCCGAUGCCUCAAGUCUACUCGUACUGGUCAGGAAGAGAAAAUAAAUGUCAACAGCAGGCAGCUUGUUACCCAGUUAGAUUACAUAAAUUAGUCAGCUUCUUACUGCAGCAGCAUUGUGAUGCAAAGACAAAGGAGCAAACUUGUGGGAGGCCUCCGAGGAAGACUACUGUUGCUAUACUUCCACGCCCCUCAUUGGUGCCACCACCUCUGACAGCAUGGCCAAGGCAGGACACUGCAGAGCUACAGCAUCUGCAGGUGUCGUUGACGAGUGAAUACAGGCUUUGCAAUAAGCCAGCAGCAAUACUGAGAUUGCAAGACUCAAGGCAGCAGUGAGGGCUGGAUCA
Molecule: long non-coding RNA, 1123 nt
Filed under: Scleropages formosus (Asian bonytongue)
Lineage: Eukaryota; Metazoa; Chordata; Actinopteri; Osteoglossiformes; Osteoglossidae
Description: lncRNA (ENSSFOG00015024287.1)
Source: RNAcentral